GCUUAUUCUCAGGGCGGGGCGAAAUUCCCCACCGGCGGUAAAUCAGCUGACGCUGAAAGCCCGCGAGCGCUUCAGGAGCAAUUCUGAAGGACAGCAGACCCGGUGUGAUUCCGGGGCCGACGGUUAGAGUCCGGAUGGGAGAGAGUAACG
This is a non-coding RNA of Triticum urartu, 150 nucleotides long. The record is from Rfam. Lineage: Eukaryota; Viridiplantae; Streptophyta; Magnoliopsida; Poales; Poaceae.